Molecule: ribosomal RNA, 920 nt
Filed under: Phaeosphaeriaceae sp.
Lineage: Eukaryota; Fungi; Ascomycota; Dothideomycetes; Pleosporales; Phaeosphaeriaceae
Description: partial large subunit ribosomal RNA
Rfam family: Eukaryotic large subunit ribosomal RNA
Source: RNAcentral
AUUUGAAAUCUGGCUCUUUCAGGGUCCGAGUUGUAAUUUGCAGAGGGCGCUUUGGCGUUGGCAGCGGUCCAAGUUCUUUGGAACAGGACGUCACAGAGGGUGAGAAUCCCGUACGUGGUCGCUAGCCUUCGCCGUGUAAAGCCCCUUCGACGAGUCGAGUUGUUUGGGAAUGCAGCUCUAAAUGGGAGGUAAAUUUCUUCUAAAGCUAAAUACUGGCCAGAGACCGAUAGCGCACAAGUAGAGUGAUCGAAAGAUGAAAAGCACUUUGGAAAGAGAGUCAAAUAGCACGUGAAAUUGUUGAAAGGGAAGCGCUUGCAGCCAGACUUGCCUGUAGUUGCUUAUCCGGACUUUUGUCCGGUGCACUCUUCUGCGGGCAGGCCAGCAUCAGUUUGGGCGGUUGGAUAAAGGUCUCUGUCAUGUACCUCCUUUCGGGGAGGCCUUAUAGGGGAGACGACAUGCAACCAGCCUGGACUGAGGUCCGCGCAUCUGCUAGGAUGCUGGCGUAAUGGCUGUAAGCGGCCCGUCUUGAAACACGGACCAAGGAGUCUAACAUCUAUGCGAGUGUUUGGGUGUCAAGCCCAGACGCGUAAUGAAAGUGAACGGAGGUGGGAACCCUUUGGGUGCACCAUCGACCGAUCCUGAUGUCUUCGGAUGGAUUUGAGUAAGAGCAUGGCUGUUGGGACCCGAAAGAUGGUGAACUAUGCUUGAAUAGGGUGAAGCCAGAGGAAACUCUGGUGGAGGCUCGCAGCGGUUCUGACGUGCAAAUCGAUCGUCAAAUUUGGGCAUAGGGGCGAAAGACUAAUCGAACUAUCUAGUAGCUGGUUCCUGCCGAAGUUUCCCUCAGGAUAGCAGUAACGUAUUCAGUUUUAUGAGGUAAAGCGAAUGAUUAGAGGCAUGGGGGUUGAAACAACCUUCACCUA